GUCAGGUCAACGUGCUCUAACAAAGUGCUGCCUCCAGCUCGUCUGAGUGUUACCAUGGAAACACAGCCUCAAAAUCGAGGCGGCACGGUGGACCACUGGUUAGAGCGUCAGCCUCACAGUUCUGAGGUGUGGGGUUCAAUCCCCGUCCCCGCCUGUGUGGAGUUUGCAUAUUCUCCCCGUGCCUGCGUGGGUUUUCUCCGGGCAUUCCGGUUUCCUCCCACAUCCCAAAAACAUGCAUGAAUUGGAGACUCUAAAUUGCCCGUAGGCAUGACUGUGAGUGCGAAUGGUUGUUUGUUUCUAUGUGCCCUGCGAUUGGCUGGCGACCAGUUCGGGGUGUGCCCCGCCUCCUGCCCGAUGGCGGCUGGGAUGGGCUCCAGCAUGCCCGCGACCCUAGUGAGGAGAAGCGGAUCAGAUAAUGGAUGGAUGGAAGUUUUCUUUAAAAUGUGUUUUGGAUGGCAGUUUGAACAUGUGAUUCGCGGGUGAACAGAUCUCCAUGAUGGGCCCCACACACAAUAAUGUGGUUUGUCAAAAGGCAGCAACAUCACCUUGCAUCUUGGACAACUCCUCCUCAUCUCCCACCUCAUCCUCGGUGACCUCCGACCCAGUGGUGUACUCCU
This is a long non-coding RNA of Phyllopteryx taeniolatus (common seadragon), 617 nucleotides long. RefSeq lists it as uncharacterized. The record is from RefSeq and is a predicted model, not a curated record. The transcript is spliced from 3 exons. NCBI's taxonomy places the organism in Eukaryota, Metazoa, Chordata, Actinopteri, Syngnathiformes, Syngnathidae.